Pelobates cultripes (western spadefoot toad) is the source of this 2205-nucleotide non-coding RNA. The record is from the annotation of a GenBank genome assembly. Lineage: Eukaryota; Metazoa; Chordata; Amphibia; Anura; Pelobatidae.
AGCAGAACAUGCUCCAGCCGAUUCCCCUUACUGGAAGUGACCAGAGUAGGGGAUUUUUCACAGGUAGGGAAAUUUGGUGUCACAAGCGUCCAUAGCAAGGCUCUCUGCGUUCCGCAGCCAUGUGGUUGGCGGACGCCAUGUUGUGGUGGGCUACGUUUCCCACCAUCACUGCUGUCAGCUGACAUUGGUAUAAAACUAAGCCGAUAUAUAAAGAAAUCUGAGUCUUAGGUUAGAUUAGUGUGGAUACGAAAAGGCCGCAGCUUCCAAUAUAAACAUGGGGAUCUCACGUUCACUACUUAAGUAACGCUUCGUUAGGUAUAGGUGCCAGUAAACGGAUGAAAGGUCUUUUGAAAUUGGAACAAGGAUCUUGUUAGUAAAGAGACACUCUACCCUCUAGGACCACUACAACUUACAGUAGUGGUUCUGGUGCAAAGAGACUGUCCCUAAAUUCUCAACUAUACAAACACUAUUUUUCUUUGAGAAGAGGUAGUGUUUAAAGUGUGCUCCAUAGCCACCCCUAGUGACAGUUACUCAGACAGCCAGGAGAGGUCCUUCCAUUCUAUCCAUGAAGAUGACAAACACUCUCCAUAGCGAUGCAUUGAGCAUUGUCAGAGCACAGCGAAUGCUGCGCAUGUUAUAUUAAAAUGGCUGAGAUUGUCUAUUAUGAUGAUCUCAGCAUGGGAGGAGCGGCAACCGCUGCAAGAUCUGUACAAUGAGGGACUAAAGGUAUGUAAACGGUAUGGUGGGCAUAAUUUUUACUUGAAAUACACUUUGUUAGGAGUACAUAUACAAUCAUGACACCAUAACCACUACUAUUGACUACUUACAUGUUGAGGGCAGAGGACACUCCUGGCACAUCAUUACAGUGUGGAUAGUGGUUAUGGUACUUGGAAUGUGACUUUAACUGGGUCCUCACUAAUAUGUGAAUUGUUGAAAUUUAAAACCCAAAUAUCAAAAUUUAGGAAAAGAAUAGCAGACCUGAAAAAAAUCUCUAACUCAACAGCUUGGCUAUUUUUGCUUGUAUUUUCCAUUUGGUUUUGUGAUUAAUUCGCUAUUUAGACAUAUCAUAGCAGGUCUGGCUUCAUAUUUACCUACCUUCUUUAUCCACAGUGAAACAAACAUUUGUGGAUACUUUCAAAUAGAUCAACUAACCUAUACUUUUUGCACAUUUUUAGUGAAGGGAUCAUCAUUGGAAUUUAGAGAAUAUGUAGUUCUGGUCUGCUUUGGGUUUUUUCCCUCUUUUUUUUAGGUUUUCCAUUUUGAAACCUUGCCCCGCUUCCUGGUAAUGGGCCAAAUGGUUUCCCACUUCUCUGAGUCACCCAGCUGUGAAAGCUUGGUGCCUUUUUCAUUGCCAUUCGUUGGCAGAGAGUGCUAGUUGACAACUUUCAUGCAAUUAAUGCAAUUCCACGUCCCACUAUAAGCACAUCUAAUGAUAUGCUAAUGCUGUACUGUUCAAGGACAGUUCCCUGGUGUUCCCAGGUGCAUGUCAUUAGAUGUGCUUCUUUUUUCCAGUUCCUUUUAAAGCAGGUGUCCGGAUACGGCCUGAGCAUUGAGUGACACCUGAUGGGCGGCCGUCCAAUAGCGUGACCAGGCCCCUUUAAAAAAUUGCACCAGCGUGGGAGGGAAGAAAGACAGGCCACGAGAACAUUAGAGCCACGCCGACUCCCAUCAGCCACAGCCACCCUCCUGCAAAAAAAAGUAAGAAAAAUUAGCUGUGUGUAUGUGUAUGUAUGUCUAUCAGUAUGUUUCUAUCUGUGUGUAUGUCUGUCUGUAUUUCAGUAUGUAUGUAAGUAUGUGUUUGUAUGUAUGUCUGUCUGUGUGUAUGUAUUUCAGUAUGUAAAUGUGUAUGUGACUGUAGGUCUGUAUGUGUAUGUAUGUCUGUGUGUAUGUAUGUGUAUGUAUGUCAGUGUGUUUGUAUGUCAGUGUCUAUGUAUGUAAGUAUGUCUGUAUAUGUCAAUUUGUAUGUAUGUCUGUGUGUAUGUAUUUCAGUAUGUAUGUAUGUAUGUGUAUGUGUCUAUCUGUAUGUAUGUCUGUGUGUGUAUGUAUGUCAAUAUGUUUUGUAUGUUUUUUUAUGUAUGUCAGUAUGUCUGUGUGUGUGUCUGUAUGUAUGUGUUUUUGUAUGUAUGUCAGUAUCUGUAUGUCUGUAUGUAUAUAUGUCAGUAUGUGUGUGUGUGUCUGUAUGUAUGUGUAUGUAUUUCAGUAUGU